Molecule: long non-coding RNA, 1160 nt
Organism: Carya illinoinensis
Lineage: Eukaryota; Viridiplantae; Streptophyta; Magnoliopsida; Fagales; Juglandaceae
Exons: 3
Source: RefSeq, a predicted model, not a curated record
CUUUUCUACCUCUCUAUAUCUCAAACUGAAAUCCUCUCUCUCUCUCUCUCUCUCUUCGGUCUUUCCCUUUCACAAACCCUAACUUUACCAGCUAAAUCAUCCACUCCCACUUCAUUGCUUAACUUGAUGAAAUAACCCCUAUUUAUAUUUAUUUUCCCUUUAUUGAUGAAGCUUGAAGUUGUACGUGAACUAUUAGUUGAAGGCUUACAAACUGGGGACCGGUUGGAGCUUCUCAUUUAUCCAGCCAUAUAUUUGAAGUGGAUAAACACAGGGCAAAUUCCUUGCUUUGAAGGUGGGGAUCACUGGCCAAACAGUCAUGCUGAGAUUUCCCCAUGCCUUCGGUGGAAGCUCACAACUUUCGGUUGGAAAGUGGCUUCCAAUAGCUAGCUCUGCAAACAUAAUACUCUCUAGAUCAAAUGUAUCCUACCCACCUCCAUUAAGAGAAUGAAAAACAAAAUGAUAGAACAGCUUGAAGGGUGAAUUACUUCCUUCGGCCAAGAACAAUGCUUUGGGGAAAAUAUAAUAUAUCGCAAGAGCUUUGAUCUUGUUGUCUUCAGAUGGUUUGGUAUAAGACGAACAGUUCUUUCAUUUCUUAUUCAUAAUUUGUUUUGCAACAGAAAAAUCCUUGCCUAAAGUAGCAUAUGAUUUUGCAGUUGUUCCUAAAAUCUUUAAGGUCUCUUGCCUACAUAGUUUAAUGAAUUGUACCAAUUGGUAGCGCAAAUGAUAUGAGCAGGCAGCCUGCGUGCUUAGAGGAUUCGUACAAACACGAGAUGAGUUAAUGAGAGUGGAGAUGAAGGCUUGUUAGGAUGGAGAUAAAGGUUUAUUUGGAGCCGUUGAAUAGCUGGACAGAACUGCGCUUUUGAAUAUUUAGGCAGAUGUUGAAUAUCUGGAUACAUUCCAAUGUUUAAUGAUGAAGGCUUGUUAGGAUGGAGAAAAAGGUUUAUUUGGAGCCGUUGAAUAGCUGGACAGAACUGCGCUUUUGAAUAUUUAGGCAGAUGUUGAAUGUCUGGAUACAUUCGAAUGUUUAAUGUAUUUUUUGUCAUUAAGCUUUUGGCUAUUGUGCAAUCUUCUCCAAUGUGUAUUGUGGAUAUAUUGUGCAAUGUGAGAGCAAUCUAAUAUAAUGGCUAAUGAAGCUACUGAUAUAUUGUGUAUUGCUGAUA